Molecule: ribosomal RNA, 533 nt
Filed under: Brevibacterium sanguinis
Lineage: Bacteria; Bacillati; Actinomycetota; Actinomycetes; Micrococcales; Brevibacteriaceae
Description: bacterial SSU rRNA
Rfam family: Bacterial small subunit ribosomal RNA
Source: RNAcentral
AGUCGUACGGUCGGGAGCAGUGGGGAAUAUUGCACAAUGGGGGAAACCCUGAUGCAGCGACGCAGCGUGCGGGAUGACGGCCUUCGGGUUGUAAACCGCUUUCAGCAGGGAAGAAGCGAAAGUGACGGUACCUGCAGAAGAAGUACCGGCUAACUACGUGCCAGCAGCCGCGGUAAUACGUAGGGUACGAGCGUUGUCCGGAAUUAUUGGGCGUAAAGAGCUCGUAGGUGGUUGGUCACGUCUGCUGUGGAAACGCAACGCUUAACGUUGCGCGUGCAGUGGGUACGGGCUGACUAGAGUGCAGUAGGGGAGUCUGGAAUUCCUGGUGUAGCGGUGAAAUGCGCAGAUAUCAGGAGGAACACCGGUGGCGAAGGCGGGACUCUGGGCUGUAACUGACACUGAGGAGCGAAAGCAUGGGGAGCGAACAGGAUUAGAUACCCUGGUAGUCCAUGCCGUAAACGUUGGGCACUAGGUGUGGGGGACAUUCCACGUUCUCCGCGCCGUAGCUAACGCAUUAAGUGCCCCGGCCUGGA